Molecule: ribosomal RNA, 492 nt
Filed under: Gloydius blomhoffii (mamushi)
Lineage: Eukaryota; Metazoa; Chordata; Lepidosauria; Squamata; Viperidae
Description: partial 12S ribosomal RNA
Rfam family: Bacterial small subunit ribosomal RNA
Source: RNAcentral
GCCUAGCCGUAACACACAAUUAAAUCACCAAUUGUUCGCCAAACAACUACAAGCCGCACUUGAAACUUAAAAGACUUGACGGUACUUCAUCACGACCUAGAGGAGCCUGUCUAAUAACCGACAAUCCACGAUUAACCCAACCCCUUCUUGCCCAACAGUCUAUAUACCGCCGUCGCCAGCUUACCUUGUAAAAGAAAUAAAGUGAGCUAAAUAAUACAACACUAAAACGACAGGUCGAGGUGUAACCUAUGAAGGGGCCAAGAUGGGCUACAUUCUCAUUCGAGAAUACGAAUAACACUAUGAAACUAGUGCUUGAAGGCGGAUUUAGCAGUAAGCUAAGAAUAAAAUACUUAACUGAACAUAACGCAAUGAAGUGCGUACACACCGCCCGUCAUCCCUGCCACCACAAUAUAAACCUUUUAUAAACUAACCUAAAAAUCAACACAGGGCAAGUCGUAACAUGGUAAGUGUACUGGAAAGUGUACUUAGAAA